GACGAACGCUGGCGGCGUGCUUAACACAUGCAAGUCGAACGGAGAGUUUUAUUUCGGUGAAAUUCUCAGUGGCGAACGGGUGAGUAACGCGUAGACAACCUACCUCUCAGAUGGGGACAACAUCGCGAAAGCGGUGCUAAUACCGCAUGAUGUAACUUUUCUGCAUGGAAGAGUUACCAAAGGCGGCCUCUAUUUAUAAGCUGUCACUGAGAGAUGGGGCUGCGUCUGAUUAGCUAGUUGGUGGGGUAAUGGCCCACCAAGGCGACGAUCAGUAGCCGGUCUGAGAGGAUGAACGGCCACAUUGGGACUGAGACACGGCCCAAACUCCUACGGGAGGCAGCAGUGGGGAAUCUUCCGCAAUGGACGAAAGUCUGACGGAGCAACGCCGCGUGAGUGAAGAAGGUUUUCGGAUCGUAAAGCUCUGUUGUUUGAGACGAACGUGCAAUUUUUGAAUAAGGAAUUGUAAUGACGGUAUUAAACGAGAAAGCCACGGCUAACUACGUGCCAGCCGCCGCCGUAA
Molecule: ribosomal RNA, 520 nt
Filed under: uncultured bacterium
Lineage: Bacteria
Description: partial 16S ribosomal RNA
Rfam family: Bacterial small subunit ribosomal RNA
Source: RNAcentral